UUCCCCCUAGGGACUGAGCUGCAGCAGGAUCAAGGGACCCAUUGUCCCCCACCAGGGUGCUCCGGCCCUCAGGAACCCCUUGGAUCAACAGAAGAGACAGGUGUCCCAGUGAGAGCAGGGAUCCUGGAGAGGGGUUCUUGGGGAGGGGUCUGUGGGCUGAGGGGUGAUGGGCUAUGAAGGGUUUCCUGCGGGUGUUUGAGGGUGAGGGUCACCUCCAGGCCAGGACUCCUCCUUCCUGCCCCACAGGGUGAAAAGGGCCCCAUUUGUCUGCCUGGCUGUGAUAGGGUGCAGAGUCGUGUGUGAUUUCCCGGUCCUGCUGGGCCUCCAGGUGUGGCUGGAGAAGACGGAGACCAAAAGAAGAACCCCAGAGAACCCAGCCAAUCUUCUCUCCACAUGAGAGGGGCGAGGGCUCUCCUGGACCCCCUCGACUCAUUGGUCUGUGGAACAGCCUGGAGCAGUGGGAGCAGACUGGGAGCCCGGAGCUCAGGGACCCCAGGGACACUUUGGAGCCAGAGUGUGGGGAACCAAAGGCAAUAAAGGAACAAGAGGAUUCACAGACCUACAGCUCUGGUGUAUCUGUUCCCUCCGCAAGGACUACCUGGACCCAGUGGCACUGAUGUGAGUCAUCCCAGCCCCUGUCCCUUCAGAUCAAUGUGUCUGAUCCUCUGCCCCCCUUUCCCCAGAUCAUAAACUCUUCACCCCUGAGAAGCCCCUUCCCCUGGGAGGCCUCUACCGUCCCACUGCCAUGACCUUGGGGCACUCAUCUGGGCCUCUGCCCCUGCAAUAACCCCACCUCCCAAAGCAAUGACACCUAUUUCUCUUCCUCUUUCACAUCCACAGGGUCCCCUGACAGGUAUUGGGGACCUGGGUCCUCCUGGAGAGAAGGUAAUUGGGAAAGGGGUGAAGGGGAUGAAGGG
Molecule: long non-coding RNA, 917 nt
Filed under: Piliocolobus tephrosceles (Ugandan red Colobus)
Lineage: Eukaryota; Metazoa; Chordata; Mammalia; Primates; Cercopithecidae
Description: lncRNA (ENSPTEG00000011436.1)
Source: RNAcentral